Molecule: long non-coding RNA, 1143 nt
Organism: Astyanax mexicanus (Mexican tetra)
Lineage: Eukaryota; Metazoa; Chordata; Actinopteri; Characiformes; Acestrorhamphidae
Exons: 2
Source: RefSeq, a predicted model, not a curated record
GGUGGUUGCUAAGGUGUUGCUAGGUGGUUGCUAGGUGGUUGCUAAGGUGUUGCUAUGGUAUCUGGGGUGGUUGCUAAGGUGUUGCUAAGGUUUUGCUAGGUGGUUGCUAAGGUGUUGCUAUGGUAUCCAGGGUGGUUGCUAAGGUGUUGCUAGGUGGUUCCUAAGGUGUUGCUAUGGUAUCCGGGGUGGUUGCUAAGGUGUUGCUAGGUGGUUGCUAGGCGGUUGCUAGGCGGUUGCUAAGGUGUUGCUAUGGUGUCUGUGGUGGUUGCUAAGGUGUUGCUAGGUGGUUGCUAAGAUGUUGCUAUGGUAUCUGGGGUGGUUGCUAAGGUGUUGCUAGGUGUAUCUGACUGGUCGCUAGGCAGUUGCUACCAUUUCUAAAGUGGUUGCUAAGCAGUUGCUAACGUUUUCCAGGUGGUUGCUAAGGUGUUGCUAUCUGGUUGCUAGGCAGUUGCUAACGUAUUACACAUGGUUGCUAAGUGGUUGCUAGGCAGUUGCUAAUGUUUUCCAGGUGGUUGCUAAGGUGUAUCUAACUGGUUGCUAGGCAGUAGUAGAUAAAAAGAAAGAGUGUUAAAUGUAGAAGUACAGAAAAAGGGAGAGCCUGAAAUAGAGAAGUAGAGAGAAAAUCAGCGUGAGAAGUAGAGAAAGAACACCCGAGAAUGUGAGAAAAAGAGUGACAAGUAGAGAGAAAUAUUGAGCGAGAGAAAGAGAAUUAGGGAAAAAGAGAGAUCGAGAAAUAAAGAAGUAGAGAAAGAAAGAGGAUGUAGUAGAGAGAUAGAUAGAAAGAGAAAGCAAGACAGAAAAGUAGAGUGAAAGAGAAGUAGAGAGAAGAGCGAGAAAUAAAGAGUAAGAGAGAAAUAGAGAAAUAGAAAAGUAGAAAGAAAGAGACAGAAAAGUAGAGAGAGUGAGAAAUAGAGAAGUAGAGAGAGAGUGAGAAAUAGAGAAGAAGAGAGCAAAAGAGAGUGAGAAAUAGAGAAGCAGAGAGAGAGUGAGAAAUAGAGAAGUAGAGAGAGAGUGAGAAAGAGAGAGUGAGAAAUAGAGAAGUAGAGAGAGUGAGAAAUAGAGACGUAGAGAGAGAGUGAGAAAGAGAGUGAGAAAUAGAGAAGUAGAGAGAGAGUGAGAAAUAGAGACGUAGAGAGAGAGUGA